GACGAACGCUGGCGGCGUGCUUAACACAUGCAAGUCGAACGGAAAGGCCCUGCUUUUGUUGGGUUCUCGAGUGGCGAACGGGUGAGUAACACGUGUGUAACCUGCCCUUGACUUUGGGAUAACUUCAGGAAACUGGGGCUAAUACCGGAUAGGAGCUCCUGCUGCAUGGGGGGGGUUGGAAAGUUUCGGCGGUUGGGGAUGGAUUCGCGGCUUAUCAGCUUGUUAGUCGGGUAGUGGCAUACCAAGGCUUUGACGGGUAGCCGGCCUGAGAGGGUGACCGGGCACAUGGCGCCUGAGAGACGCCGCAGACGCGUAUGGGAGGCAGUAGGGGGGAGCAUUGCGCAGUGGCGGGGAGCGUGAGGCGACAAUGCCCGGUGCGUAAUACCGGGUUUCUAGUGAAGAACCGAUGUCGCCGGUGACGAGGAGUGAGUGACGGUAAUGGGUAAAGAAGCACCGGCUAACUACGUG
This 468-nucleotide ribosomal RNA is filed under the name uncultured bacterium. RNAcentral describes it as "partial 16S ribosomal RNA". It matches the Rfam family "Bacterial small subunit ribosomal RNA", at positions 28 to 507 of the family's 1533-position model. The record is from RNAcentral.